Molecule: long non-coding RNA, 922 nt
Filed under: Struthio camelus australis
Lineage: Eukaryota; Metazoa; Chordata; Aves; Struthioniformes; Struthionidae
Description: lncRNA (ENSSCUG00000016096.1)
Source: RNAcentral
UCCAAUGUUACUUUUUCUCAGGGUUAUGCUUUCCAGGUUUUCCACUCCUUCUCCUCACUGCCUGCAGAAUGAACGAUCGUUCUCUAGGAUGGCGUAUUUUCAGAAAUGAUAAGCGAGGCAAGAGAUAAUGCAUUCACAGCCUUUGAACAACUGCUGUACAUAUGGCACAUGAUGAAAAUCAGACAAAAAGCAAAGUGAUAUUCUCGAUAAAACAGGCCCGCAGAUCUACUGGAUGGAGACUGACGGGUGUGCCCUCCACAGGGUAUUUUCCCUCGCUGAAACUGGCUUACACCUUGUGGAGGUCUUUUUCAUUUCAUGCAAAGAAAGUGUAUUUCAGCAUUACAGUCUCUUACUAGAUGUGGACUUCACAAAGUGUAUUAAAUACAAACUAAAGAGAAGAAAAAAUCUGAGGAGAGAGGACAAGCUUGCACCAAAAUGUUUGGGCCCAGACUGGGCCAAAAUGAGACGUAGAUUUGAAAGAGCCCAUGGUGAAUAUUCGUAGGCCUGAACUCAAGAAACAAAAGGCUGGAUCUGAACUUUUGAAGACCAGCUGGUACAGCAUGACAUCAAUGAGUUUGGAGUGUCCAGCUCCUUCCUGCGUGCUGCGUUCUCUUUCCAGCUCCAUUAGCCUUCCAAUGCUGUUGAACAAGUCACAGCUUCAGUGGGAGAACUAAAUAUGAAGUCUGAAUCACAGCCUUCUGGUCUGGGCACUUCCCAGGGUGAUGGAAAAAGGUAGGUUUCAAACCCUAUGGCUGAGAAAAGACUGGAAACCCAUUAACCCUUAUUUAUUACAUGAAGGGAGUGAGACAGUUGUGGCUCUGCCACUCACCAUGUAAUAGAAAGGAAGCCGUUGCUGCGUUGCUUUGUGAGAAGCCCAGUGCUGCUAGUGCCUUGCACAUGCUCUGAGCUGAGUUAUUAUUUU